GGGGGUAUAGUAUAAUGGUAAUACGACUGGGUUGCAUUUAGUCAAUUUAGGUUCGAUUCCUAAUAUCUCCA
Sporothrix brasiliensis 5110 is the source of this 71-nucleotide non-coding RNA. The record is from the annotation of a RefSeq genome assembly. Lineage: Eukaryota; Fungi; Ascomycota; Sordariomycetes; Ophiostomatales; Ophiostomataceae.